RNAcentral lists this ribosomal RNA (446 nucleotides) under uncultured bacterium. Its description in RNAcentral is "partial 16S ribosomal RNA". It matches the Rfam family "Bacterial small subunit ribosomal RNA", at positions 338 to 795 of the family's 1533-position model. The record is from RNAcentral.
CCUACGGGGUGCAGCAGUAGGGAAUUUUCGGCAAUGGGGGGAACCCUGACCGAGCAACGCCGCGUGAACGAAGAAGUUAUUCGUAAUGUAAAGUUCUUUUAACAGGGAAGAAAGAGAAAUUUGACGGUACCUGAAGAAUAAGCUCCGGCUAAAUACGUGCCAGCAGCCGCGGUAAUACGUAGGGAGCGAGCGUUAUCCGGAAUUAUUGGGCUUAAAGGGUGCGUAGAUGGCAUAGUAAGUCUUUUGUAAAAAUGCUGGGCUCAACCCAGUAGGGCAAAAGAUACUGCAAAGCUAGAGUAUGACAGAGGCAAGGGGAACUACAUGGGUAGCGGGAAAAUGCGGAAAAAAAGGUAAGAACACCAGGGGCGAAGGCGGCUCGCUGGGUCGAUACUGACAGUGAGGCACGAAAGCGUGGGGAGCAAACAGGAUUAGAUACCCUUGUAGUC